UCCCCUCACAUACUCUGAGACGUGAUACCGAGCCGCUUCAGGCGAAGUCAUUAAUCCUAUGCUGCCUAGAAAAGCCCAGUAGCGAGUUGACAUGGUGCCCGUACCCCAAACCAACACAGGUGGACAGGUAGAGCAUACCAAGGCGAGUGGGAUAACUAUGGUUAAGGAACUCGGCAAAUUUCCUCCGUAACUUCGGGAUAAGGAGGACCCCAGUAGCGUGACGAGACUUGCUCUCCGAGCGUGAAGGGGUGGCACAAAAUUGAGGGAAGCGACUGUUUACCAAAAACACAGCAGCGUGCUAAGCCGUAAGGCGCUGUAUACGCUGUGACUCCUGCCCGGUGCUGGAAGGUUACGGGGAUGGGUUAGUCCUUCGGGACGAAGCUCUGAACCUAAGCCCCAGUAAACGGCGGCCGUAACUAUAACGGUCCUAAGGUAGCGAAAUUCCUUGUCGGGUAAGUUCCGGCCUGCACGAAUGGAGUAACGACUUCCCUACUGUCUCAACCAUAGACCCAGCGAAAUUGAAGUACGAGUAAAGAUGCUCGUUAGCUGCAGAAGGACGGAAAGACCCCGUGGACCUUUACUAUAACUUGAUGUUGUGUUUUGUCAUAUGUUGUGUAGGAUAGGUGGGAGACAAGGAAGCAUGGACGCUAGUCUGUGUGGAGUCAUCGUUGAAAUACCACCCUGCAUAUGGUGAGGCUCUAACCUAGACCCGUUAUCCGGGUUGGGGACAGCGUCAGGCGGGUAGUUUAACUGGGGCGGUUGCCUCCUAAAGAGUAACGGAGGCGCCCAAAGGUUCCCUCAGCCUGGUUGGCAAUCAGGCGUCGAGUGCAAUGGCAAAAGGGAGCUUGACUGCGAGACCUACAAGUCGAGCAGGAGCGAAAGCUGGGCAUAGUGAUCCGGCGGUUGCGUGUGGAAGCGCCGUCGCUCAACGGAUAAAAGGUACCCCGGGGAUAACAGGCUAAUCUUGCCCAAGCGUCCAUAGCGACGGCAAGGUUUGGCACCUCGAUGUCGGCUCAUCGCAUCCUGGGGCUGAAGCAGGUCCCAAGGGUUGGGCUGUUCGCCCAUUAAAGCGGUACGCGAGCUGGGUUCAGAACGUCGUGAGACAGUUCGGUCCCUAUCCUCUGUAGCCGUAGGUGAAUUGAGGAAAGCUGUCCCUAGUACGAGAGGACCGGGACGGACGCAGCUCUCGUGUGCCAGUUGUCCUGCCAAGGGCAUGGCUGGUUAGCGACCUGCGGAAAGGAUAACCGCUGAAAGCAUCUAAGCGGGAAGCCUCUUCCGAGAUGAAUUCACCCACAGGGUUAACCUGGUAAGGCCCGUGGUAGACCACCACGUUGAUAGGCCGGAAGUGUAAGCGUGGCAACACGUUCAGCUGACCGGUACUAAUCGGCCGAGGGCUUGAACC
Molecule: ribosomal RNA, 1402 nt
Filed under: metagenome
Description: bacterial LSU rRNA
Rfam family: Bacterial large subunit ribosomal RNA
Source: RNAcentral